ACGUACCCCUGGUUCAUGCAGGACGGCCUGGUCUGCGGGGUCCGGCUGCGGCACGGGCGGGCGCUCUGGUUCCGCAACCGGUGGGUACGUUC
RNAcentral lists this transfer RNA (92 nucleotides) under Paractinoplanes brasiliensis. RNAcentral describes it as "Actinoplanes brasiliensis tRNA-Arg". Lineage: Bacteria; Bacillati; Actinomycetota; Actinomycetes; Micromonosporales; Micromonosporaceae. The record is from RNAcentral.